RNAcentral lists this ribosomal RNA (253 nucleotides) under uncultured bacterium. RNAcentral describes it as "partial 16S ribosomal RNA". It matches the Rfam family "Bacterial small subunit ribosomal RNA", at positions 524 to 776 of the family's 1533-position model. The record is from RNAcentral.
UACGUAGGUGACCAGCGUUGUCCGGAUUUACUGGGCGUAAAGAGCGCGCAGGCGGUCGUUCAAGUCGAGUGUGAAAGCCCCCGGCUCAACUGGGGAGGGUCACUCGAUACUGAUCGACUGGAAGGCAGGAGAGGGAAGCGGAAUUCCCGGUGUAGUGGUGAAAUGCGUAGAUAUCGGGAGGAACACCAGCGGCGAAGGCGGCUUCCUGGCCUGUUCUUGACGCUGAGGCGCGAAAGCUAGGGGAGCAAACGGG